This 280-nucleotide non-coding RNA is filed under the name Pisaster giganteus. The record is from RNAcentral. Lineage: Eukaryota; Metazoa; Echinodermata; Asteroidea; Forcipulatida; Asteriidae.
UGUCGUUCAACAUGGACCGACCUCGCAUGAUCUAACCCUAACGAGCUGAAUAUUUCACCGACUUUUGGGUUACCCUCCAACAGUUUUGAAGCUUGUUUCUGUUGUAUGUUCCGAGGAACAAAAAACUUGCUGGUUGGUGUCAUGGACACACGACGAAAAGCAUCAAAAUGCCAAGUUUGUUUCUGCUUUCAGUCCAGAUAGUAUUACUGAACCUCGCCGUACUUUAUGUGCAUGCCGGUGCUCAGUUUUACAACAGCCAUUUUGACGUAGAGUAAAUUGA